GACGAACGCUGGCUGCGUGCUUAACACAUGCAAGUCGAACGCUGAAACCCUGGUGCUUGCACCGGGGUGGAUGAGUGGCGAACGGGUGAGUAACACGUGAGUAACCUGCCCCCGACUUCGGGAUAAGCCCGGGAAACUGGGCCUAAUACCGGAUAUGAGCGCCCCUCGCAUGAGGGAUGCUGGAAAGUCUUUUCGGUUGGGGAUGGGCUCGCGGCCUAUCAGUUUGUUGGUGAGGUAAUGGCUCACCAAGACGACGACGGGUAGCCGGCCUGAGAGGGCGACCGGCCACACUGGGACUGAGACACGGCCCAGACUCCUACGGGAGGCAGCAGUGGGGAAUAUUGCACAAUGGGGGAAACCCUGAUGCAGCGACGCAGCGUGCGGGAUGACGGCCUUCGGGUUGUAAACCGCUUUCAGCAGGGAAGAAGCCUCUUGGGGUGACGGUACCUGCAGAAGAAGUACCGGCUAACUACGUGCCAGCAGCCGCGGUAA
This 492-nucleotide ribosomal RNA is filed under the name uncultured bacterium. RNAcentral's name for it is "partial 16S ribosomal RNA". It matches the Rfam family "Bacterial small subunit ribosomal RNA", at positions 28 to 523 of the family's 1533-position model. The record is from RNAcentral.